Molecule: transfer RNA, 70 nt
Filed under: Dipodomys ordii (Ord's kangaroo rat)
Lineage: Eukaryota; Metazoa; Chordata; Mammalia; Rodentia; Heteromyidae
Rfam family: tRNA
About the family: Transfer RNA (tRNA) molecules are approximately 80 nucleotides in length.
Source: Rfam by way of RNAcentral
AGAGAUAAAGCUCAGUGGUAGAGAGCUUGCCUGCCAUGCAUGAGGCCCUGGGUUCAAUCCCGAUACUCUC